Molecule: ribosomal RNA, 445 nt
Filed under: uncultured bacterium
Lineage: Bacteria
Description: partial 16S ribosomal RNA
Rfam family: Bacterial small subunit ribosomal RNA
Source: RNAcentral
GUGAGGAAUAUUGGUCAAUGGGCGGGAGCCUGAACCAGCCAAGUCGCGUGAAGGAAGAAGGAUCUAUGGUUCGUAAACUUCUUUUGCAGGGGAAUAAAGUGCAGGACGUGUCCUGUUUUGUAUGUACCCUGAGAAUAAGGAUCGGCUAACUCCGUGCCAGCAGCCGCGGUAAUACGGAGGAUCCGAGCGUUAUCCGGAUUUAUUGGGUUUAAAGGGUGCGUAGAUGGUUUGAUAAGUCAGCGGUGAAAGUUUGCAGCUUAACUGUAAAAAUGCCGUUGAAACUGUCGGACUUGAGUGUAAAUGAGGUAGGCGGAAUGCGUGGUGUAGCGGUGAAAUGCAUAGAUAUCACGCAGAACUCCGAUUGCGAAGGCAGCUUACUAAGCUACAACUGACACUGAAGCACGAAAGCGUGGGGAUCAAACAGGAUUAGAAACCCUAGUAGUCC